GUUUCACUUUUUGGGGUUUCUUUUAGAUCUGGAGACGAACAUCAUCGCUUCGGUAUUCCAAUUCUCUUUUUGGGUUUUGACAUCAUCAGGAUCUGGGUUUGUGAUUAUUCUGUUUCUAUGCCGUCGAAACCCAUCCCAUCUUGAACUGAAAAUUCCAGAAACUGAAAUUUCCUGAGCUCUGGGAACCUGGAGAUGGACACUUUCCGAGUUUUCUAAUUCAUUUCAUCAUCAUUUGAUUGUUGUCUUUGAAUUUUCUUUCUAGGUUUUUUGGUGGUUUUGUUUUUGUUGUUGCUAAUUUGGGUUUUGGUGAAUUUGUGAAGAGCAAGCGGUGUGUGUAGAAAUUGGAAACAGGGGUGAAGCAGAGUCUGGGACGCAGAGACAGUUUGAGCUUUGCUGGUUGGAAGAUGGGUUCUCAGAUAUGAUUUUUGGGUGUGAGAACUCUAGCUGGAGAACAAGAGGAUGAUGGACAGUUCUAUUUAGGAUUUUUGGGUGUGAGAACUCUAGCUGGAGAACAAGAGGAUGAUGGACAGUUCUAUUAAAUAGAGAGGACAAGCCUUCUGAGGGCAAGAGAAGAAGCUUUGGGUUUGCGAACUCUAGCUGGAGAACAAGAGGAUGAUGGACAGUUCUAUUAGAGAAAUAGAGAGGACAAGCCUUCUGAGGGUAAGAGAAGAAGCUGGUUCGAGGUUAAGAAAAGUGCUAAGCAAGGGCAGAUGAUGUGUUUUUCUUCUGAUCGGAUACAAGAAGGUAAUUCAAAUAAGCCCCUU
Rosa rugosa (rugosa rose) is the source of this 764-nucleotide long non-coding RNA. RefSeq lists it as uncharacterized. The record is from RefSeq and is a predicted model, not a curated record. The transcript has 3 exons. Lineage: Eukaryota; Viridiplantae; Streptophyta; Magnoliopsida; Rosales; Rosaceae.